GAUGAAGAACGUAGCGAAAUGCGAUACUUGGUGUGAAUUGCAGAAUCCCGUGAACCAUCGAGUCUUUGAACGCAAGUUGCGCCCGAAGCCACUAGGCCGAGGGCACGCCUGCCUGGGCGUCACACGCCGUUGCCCCCCCAUCUACUCCUUCGGGAUUGCGGGGGGGCGGAUGAUGGCCUCCCGUGCGCCUAGCCGCGCGGUUGGCAUAAAUACCAAGUCCUCGGCGGCGCACGCCACGACAAUCGGUGGUUGCGAAACCUCGGUUGCCCGUCGUGUGCGUUCGUCGCGCAUCGAGGGCUCGAAAAAAUGCUCGGCUCCGGCUGGGCUUUCAACGCGACCCCAGGUCAGGCGGGGUUACCCGCUGAAUUUAAGCAUAUCAAUAAGCGGAGGA
Molecule: unclassified non-coding RNA, 391 nt
Filed under: soil metagenome
Description: partial contains 5.8S ribosomal RNA, internal transcribed spacer 2, and large subunit ribosomal RNA
Rfam family: 5.8S ribosomal RNA (bases 1-122)
Source: RNAcentral